Molecule: ribosomal RNA, 379 nt
Filed under: uncultured bacterium
Lineage: Bacteria
Description: bacterial SSU rRNA
Rfam family: Bacterial small subunit ribosomal RNA
Source: RNAcentral
AAUCAACGCUGGCGGCGCGCUUAACACAUGCAAGUCGCACGAGAAAGGGGGAGCAAUCCCUGAGUACAGUGGCGUACGGGUGAGUAACACGUGGGUAAUCUACCUCUUAGUGGGGGAUAUCUCUGGGAAACCGGAGUUAAUACCGCAUAAGUUCGGAAGAAGAAAGCGAGCAAUCGCGCUGAGAGAGGAGCCCGCGGCCGAUUAGCUAGUUGGUGGGGUAAAGGCUCACCAAGGCAGAGAUCGGUAGCCGGCCUGAGAGGGCACACGGCCACACUGGCACUGAAACACGGGCCAGACUCCUACGGGAGGCAGCAGUGGGGAAUCUUGCACAAUGGGGGAAACCCUGAUGCAGCGACGCCGCGUGAGCGAUGAAGCCCUU